This 214-nucleotide long non-coding RNA is filed under the name Lathyrus oleraceus (garden pea). RNAcentral describes it as "Pisum sativum (pea) long non-coding RNA (PSAT_LNC010147)". Lineage: Eukaryota; Viridiplantae; Streptophyta; Magnoliopsida; Fabales; Fabaceae. The record is from RNAcentral.
CCAAGUCAACAACUCAAGUCAAAAUCAUCAAGUGUAUUAAAAUUCACAAAAAAUGUAAUUAAAAAUGAAUAAAAAAUGGAAAUUAAAGAGAAUAUCUCAAACUAUGAUCAAAAUGAUGCAAAAAUGGUUGCAAAAAUUACACAAAGUCCCAAAUAUUAUGUGUAAAUAGAUCUCAAAGGUUGGAUGCAAAAAGGUUUGGAAAAGGUUAAAAAAC